This 612-nucleotide ribosomal RNA is filed under the name Streptococcus agalactiae LMG 14838. RNAcentral's name for it is "bacterial SSU rRNA". It matches the Rfam family "Bacterial small subunit ribosomal RNA", at positions 1 to 599 of the family's 1533-position model. The record is from RNAcentral. Lineage: Bacteria; Bacillati; Bacillota; Bacilli; Lactobacillales; Streptococcaceae.
AUGAGAGUUUGAUCCUGGCUCAGGACGAACGCUGGCGGCGUGCCUAAUACAUGCAAGUAGAACGCUGAGGUUUGGUGUUUACACUAGACUGAUGAGUUGCGAACGGGUGAGUAACGCGUAGGUAACCUGCCUCAUAGCGGGGGAUAACUAUUGGAAACGAUAGCUAAUACCGCAUAAGAGUAAUUAACACAUGUUAGUUAUUUAAAAGGAGCAAUUGCUUCACUGUGAGAUGGACCUGCGUUGUAUUAGCUAGUUGGUGAGGUAAAGGCUCACCAAGGCGACGAUACAUAGCCGACCUGAGAGGGUGAUCGGCCACACUGGGACAGAGACACGGCCCAGACUCCUACGGGAGGCAGCAGUAGGGAAUCUUCGGCAAUGGACGGAAGUCUGACCGAGCAACGCCGCGUGAGUGAAGAAGGUUUUCGGAUCGUAAAGCUCUGUUGUUAGAGAAGAACGUUGGUAGGAGUGGAAAAUCUACCAAGUGACGGUAACUAACCAGAAAGGGACGGCUAACUACGUGCCAGCAGCCGCGGUAAUACGUAGGUCCCGAGCGUUGUCCGGAUUUAUUGGGCGUAAAGCGAGCGCAGGCGGUUCUUUAAGUCUGAAGUUAAA